Canis lupus familiaris (dog) is the source of this 1797-nucleotide long non-coding RNA. RefSeq lists it as uncharacterized. The transcript is spliced from 3 exons. NCBI's taxonomy places the organism in Eukaryota, Metazoa, Chordata, Mammalia, Carnivora, Canidae. The record is from RefSeq and is a predicted model, not a curated record.
CGCUCAGGUUCGCGUCUGGCCACGACCCGCCGCCUCCCGGGGUUUUAUUGGUUUCCCCGCACGCUCCCCCCGGCCCCGAAGGGGCGGAGUCACCGGGACUUGGAGCCGCGUCCCGGCGGCGGCCGCGCCAAUCAGCUCAGAUAAAGAACUUUGGGCCCCGCCCCCGGCCGCGGGUCCCGUGGGUGGCGGGACCUGGCGCGGCGGCCCGGGGCUGUGAGGGGUCAGCCGGGGGCGGAGGAAGGUGAAGCGGGCAUCUGGGGUACCGGAGCUCGAGAUUAGCCGCUUGGGACCCGGGCCUGGGACGCGUGGGCUGGGGGCCCGCCCAGGCUCGUCCUUGUUUACGAACGAGAGACUGUGUCAAUGUCACGCAUUCCCGACUAGAAACUAUUUCCAAGAAUCUGAACUCCGGGAUGUCAUUGGUCCUCGCCCAGAGCGGGCUUUUACAGUAGCCAAUCAGCUGCAUUCAAAGGUAUGAGCUUCUCCGCCAUUGGACAGUCAGAGAAGCAGCCUAACCAUCUCUAGUGUUUUCUCCCUGAGCGAACAGGACAAGGCAGGAACUGGAGGUUCCUUUAGCAAGUGGGGACAUGGGGCAGAGGGAGAGAGAGAGAAUCUUAAGCAGGCCCUGAACAGCAUGAAGCCGGACAUGGGCCUCAAUCGCAUGAUGCCCACAUCAUGACUUGAGCUGAAAUCAGGAGUUGGAUGCUCAACCAACUGAACCACCCAGCCUUUUUACAGAAGGGUACUCCCACCGUCUCUUGCAAGAAGAGGCACCUCAAAAUGCACUGUACAUUGGAACGAAAGGAUUGUUUUCCUACUCUGCAGCCCUAAUUCAUCGUUAACACUUCCUGUUUAAAAAUAAAAAUUAAGCAAUUCUUCAACACGCAGUUUUCAUCAACAUUGUGUUGGAAGGAAGAAAUACAGCCCAUCCUGUAAAAGCUAGCAGAUGCUGGGCCUCUCCCUGGCUAAGUGGGUAAAAGGUCAGCCCCACACCCACAGCCUGGGCUGUUCUGGCUGGACUGGUGGUGGAGUCAACAAGGGGAAGUUUAGUAGGUGAAAGGUCACUGCUGUGGAACAGCACUUUCCAUGUGUCAGCUCUCAGACAUCUAGUUUCUGUUCAUGGAAAUAAAGCUAACUAGGGGAAAGGUCACAAAGACCAGAGGCAGCUCUGUAAUAACUGGGGCCUGCCUCAACAUUGUGUCCAAGGCAAGAGGCCAAGUGCUUAGGCCUCCCGGCCUUUAGAAAUUCUGCUGCUCAAGUGGAAAAACAGAGAUUGUAAGGUGCUUUAAAGAUCAUCCUGUACUGAAUGCAGCAAACUGAUAAACAACCUAUGGAGUGACGAAUUUGUAUUAUGUAAAAUAACUUCACAAGGAAAGAUUCUUUGGACAACUGGACUGCAAUAAAGGAUCUUGUAGGUUUUCUUUUUAGUUGCCCUAUACCAGAGCAGUGGUUCCUAAUCCUGGCCACACGUUAGAAUUACUUAGAGGUUACUUAGAGGUUUUACAAAUGAGUGCUGCUUGCUACCAGUUGAAUCAGACUCUCUAGCCAGGGGACCAAGCCACCUUUAUUUUUCUAGUGUCUCAGGUGGCUCUAAUGUACAGCACUGCUUUUGAAUCCUUAAAAACAUGGACAUUUGAAAUGACCCCAGGUUAAGAGAGAAAUUCUCCAUAUUCUGCAUUAGUGCUUUUUAGAUUAUGGGUCGUGACCAAUUAGUGGAUCAUGCAAUCAGUUUAAUGGGUCACAACUAGAAUGAAAAUGCAAUAGAAUAGAGGAAAAAAAGCAUACUUGUGUUAUGUGAGA